Molecule: transfer RNA, 79 nt
Filed under: Salmonella phage 1-23
Lineage: Duplodnaviria; Heunggongvirae; Uroviricota; Caudoviricetes; Demerecviridae
Also listed under: 4 other names
Description: tRNA-Met
Rfam family: tRNA
About the family: Transfer RNA (tRNA) molecules are approximately 80 nucleotides in length. Their secondary structure includes four short double-helical elements and three loops (D, anti-codon, and T loops).
Source: RNAcentral
UGCGGGUUAGAUCUCUGGUAGAGAUCGCUAGUCUCAUAAGCUAGAAAGAGGUAGGUUCGAUUCCUACACCCGCUUCCAA